Molecule: long non-coding RNA, 1572 nt
Organism: Tympanuchus pallidicinctus (lesser prairie-chicken)
Lineage: Eukaryota; Metazoa; Chordata; Aves; Galliformes; Phasianidae
Exons: 2
Source: RefSeq, a predicted model, not a curated record
GAAACUUUUGGGAGCUGUCAAUCAGGGCCCCAUCAGCUGACUGUCAGCUGGGCGAGCCUUAACCCCUUCCUGCCCGCCGCCACCGCCGGACGCACCGGCAACUCGCAGAUGCAAAUAAAAGCCGCGCUCUCUUUGAAGACACGUUCUUUAUAUAUUUUUAUUGGAGGUAAUUUACUAUUUGCAUUACCUGUAUUUACUUCAUAAUUGAACAUUUUGCAUUCAAAUUUAUGGAACGCGCUCCGCUCGAGAAUGUAUUUCUCCCCGAUUAGCAUAAAUAGUCACUUACCUCAUGAAUUACUAACAAAGUUUAUCUGAAAAUAUAGGUGUCUUUUUUAUUAAGUGGAGCACCAACAUAUGUACCACGAAUCCCAAUUUGCUGGUGGUGCUGUGGUGUCGGAGAAGAGGGAACAGAAGCAGCGGCAAACAAGCGCCAUCGAUUAAUAUCUGUAUGAGUGUGACAAUAAUUGCUUCUGCCGAUGCUUUGCUAAUUGUUAAUAACGAGCCGACGACUCAAAGUUUCCUGCAGAAGGAGCAGAAAGAAGGGAACCUCCUCGGUGGGUUUCCCCCCUCGUUGCCCCAUGCUUGCUGAUGGCCGGGGCUCGCUCGGGGCUCCCUGCUCACUGUUGGGAUUGUUUCUCUCUUCCCCUUAAUCCUGUUUUUAUGCUCAGCUGCAAAUCCCAAUAAUGGAUAUGAUUUAGGCCCAUCCUCCUGUAUUAACACGACCCUACUUAGACAAAAGACACCCGAACCCUAUCGACUGCCGGAUUGAAUCCUUCAUCCCAUGGAAGCCAACAACAAAACUUCCAUUGAUUUCAGUGGUCCUGGCUGGCAGCAAUUUGUUUGUGUCAAAGGGCCGUGGCUGCAAAAACUGAGAGCUGUCAGCCAGCAGGGAAUGAGGUCUGCUCCCCACUGACUUCCCCACAUUCCCACUGACUUCUGGUGGAGCUCCAUAUACCAGGUGCUGACAUAUACGUGUGUUUUGUCUGGGUGCAAUGAGCACAUCCCUUAAUGUAUCACGGCAAAACGAGCUGCUUUCAGUGCUCUCACUUUUCCUGUGCUUGGGCAAUCCAUUCCCGUGACUGCAGCUUGCUGCCCCAUCCACUGCUCUUUUAUUUUAAAGCUGAGAAAAUCUUCCUUUUAAACUCAUGCUGAGCAUCAAAUUGGACUCCACUUGCAGCUGAACAUCUUGGCUUCCUGUUCCCCAGCCGCUCUGGUAUAUUUUAUGUAGAAUUCUCUCUGCUAAUGCAACUUGCUUUCCCUCUCUGUUCUCUUUUCAGUUUUGCAUCGGAGUUGCCGAAUCCAUCGUUUCCACUGCUUGCUUAUCGUGUUUCUGAAACACUCAAACUAUCCUAAAUAACUUCGUAUGAUCCAGAAGGAACUUCUCUCUCUGGCUGGAGGUUGGCGCCACCAGGUUUGUGCUGUGCUCACCCUAUGAUGCAUGUCCCAUUUUACUCAUUUCCAUGAAUGGCUCGGCCUGGAUGUAAAAAUCAAUACAGACAUCCCUGAUGCCAAAAACCUAUUUGUCUAAAAGAUAUAAAAAGUGAAAUUGCAAUAAAGAUUUUUAUCAGGCUU